GAGGCUGCCCCGGUGGAGGGG
This 21-nucleotide microRNA is filed under the name Ornithorhynchus anatinus (platypus). RNAcentral's name for it is "oan-miR-7408-5p". The record is from miRBase by way of RNAcentral. Lineage: Eukaryota; Metazoa; Chordata; Mammalia; Monotremata; Ornithorhynchidae.